AGGAUGCCGACAAGAACAUCAUCAAACACCUGAAGUCCGCCGAUCGACUCGUUCAUCAGAGCUCCACCAAGCACAGCUAUCCCUUCUGCUGGCGGUCCGAGACUCCUCUCAUUUACCGAGCAGUUCCAUCUUGGUUUAUACGUGUCGAACAUAUGACAGAAAAGUUGCUCCAGACAAACCAAGAAACAUACUGGGUACCAGAGUUUGUUAAGGAGAAAAGGUUUGCUAAUUGGCUGAGAGAUGCACAUGAUUGGGCUGUCUCGAGGAACCGCUACUGGGGAACACCAAUCC
Molecule: long non-coding RNA, 291 nt
Organism: Limulus polyphemus (Atlantic horseshoe crab)
Lineage: Eukaryota; Metazoa; Arthropoda; Merostomata; Xiphosura; Limulidae
Exons: 2
Source: RefSeq, a predicted model, not a curated record